This 366-nucleotide ribosomal RNA is filed under the name Triticum aestivum (bread wheat). RNAcentral describes it as "partial small subunit ribosomal RNA". Lineage: Eukaryota; Viridiplantae; Streptophyta; Magnoliopsida; Poales; Poaceae. The record is from RNAcentral.
AAAUUUUGUUUGGGCUUACAACUUGAACAUCUUCCUUCAAGAAUACUUGUUCAUCAGUCUGCUUAUAUCCAAAAGAUUCUUGAGAAAUUUAAUAUGGAUAAAGCAUAUCCAUCAAAAAUACCGAUGGUUGUUAGAUCUCUUGAUAGAGAUAAAGACCCAUUUAGACCUAAGGGUGAUGCUGAAGAGGUAUUAGGGCCUGAGUUUCCUUACCUCAGUGCUAUUGGGGCACUAAUGUAUCUAGCAAACUGCACCCGGCCUGAUAUAUCAUUUGCAGUAAAUUUAUUGGCUAGAUUCAGUGCAUCACCAACAAAGAGGCAUUGGGUUGGUGUGAAGAACAUUUUUAGAUAUCUUCAAGGCACCAAAGAU